This 348-nucleotide ribosomal RNA is filed under the name uncultured bacterium. RNAcentral describes it as "bacterial SSU rRNA". It matches the Rfam family "Bacterial small subunit ribosomal RNA", at positions 160 to 507 of the family's 1533-position model. The record is from RNAcentral.
GGACUAAUACCCAAUGACGUCUCUAGAAGACAUCUGAAAGGGAUUAAAGAUUUAUCGGUGAUGGAUGGGGAUGCGUCUGAUUAGCUUGUUGGCGGGUAACGGCCCACCGAGACGACGAUCAGUAGGGGUUCUGAGAGGAAAGUCCCCCACAUUGGAACUGAGACACGGUCCAAACUCCUACGGGAGGCAGCAGUGAGGAAUAUUGGUCAAUGGGCGAGAGCCUGAACCAGCCAAGUAGCGUGCAGGAUGACGGCCCUAUGGGUUGUAAACUGCUUUUAUAAGGGAAUAAAGUGAGCCUCGUGAGGCUUUUUGCAUGUACCUUAUGAAUAAGGACCGGCUAAUUCCGUG